UCCCAGACUCCUACGGGAGGCAGCAGUGGGGAAUAUUGCACAAUGGGGGAAACCCUGAUGCAGCGACGCCGCGUGAGUGAAGAAGUAUUUUGGUAUGUAAAGCUCUAUCAGCAGGGAAGAAAAUGACGGUACCUGACUAAGAAGCCCUGGCUAACUACGUGCCAGCAGCCGCGGUAAUACGUAGGGGGCAAGCGUUAUCCGGAUUUACUGGGUGUAAAGGGAGCGUAGACGGCAUGGCAAGUCAGAUGUGAAAGCCCGGGGCUCAACCCCGGGACUGCAUUUGAAACUGUCAGGCUGGAGUGCAGGAGAGGUAAGUGGAAUUCCUAGUGUAGCGGUGAAAUGCGUAGAUAUUAGGAGGAACACCAGUGGCGAAGGCGGCUUACUGGACUGUAACUGACGUUGAGGCUCGAAAGCGUGGGGAGCAAACAGGAUUAGAUACCCUAGUAA
RNAcentral lists this ribosomal RNA (447 nucleotides) under uncultured bacterium. Its description in RNAcentral is "bacterial SSU rRNA". It matches the Rfam family "Bacterial small subunit ribosomal RNA", at positions 329 to 793 of the family's 1533-position model. The record is from RNAcentral.